CCUACGGGUGGCAGCAGUGAGGAAUAUUGGUCAAUGGCCGAGAGGCUGAACCAGCCAAGUCGCGUGAGGGAAGAAUGUCCUAUGGAUUGUAAACCUCUUUUGUCAGGGAGCAAAGUCACCCACGUGUGGGUGUUGGAGAGUACCUUACGAAAAAGCAUCGGCUAACUCCGUGCCAGCAGCCGCGGUAAUCCGGAGGAUGCGAGCGUUAUCCGGAUUUAUUGGGUUUAAAGGGUGCGUAGGCGGGUUAUCAAGUCAGCGGUAAAAUCGUGGAGCUCAACUCCAUCCAGCCGUUGAAACUGAUGAUCUGGAGUGGGCGAGAAGGAUGCGGAAUGCGGGGUGUAGCGGUGAAAUGCAUAGAUAUCACGCAGAACCCCGAUUGCGAAGGCAGCAGGCCGGCUGCCGACUGACGCUGAAGCACGAAAGCGUGGGGAUCGAACAGGAUUAGAUACCCGAGUAGU
This 458-nucleotide ribosomal RNA is filed under the name uncultured bacterium. RNAcentral describes it as "partial 16S ribosomal RNA". It matches the Rfam family "Bacterial small subunit ribosomal RNA", at positions 338 to 794 of the family's 1533-position model. The record is from RNAcentral.